GACGAACGCUGGCGGCGUGCUUAACACAUGCAAGUCGAACGGAAAGGCCCUGCUUUUGUGGGGUGCUCGAGUGGCGAACGGGUGAGUAACACGUGAGUAACCUGCCCUUGACUUUGGGAUAACUUCAGGAAACUGGGGCUAAUACCGGAUAGGAGCCCCUGCUGCAUGGUGGGGGGUGGAAAGUUUCGGCGGUUGGGGAUGGACUGGCGGCUUAUCAGCUUGUUGGUGGGGUAGUGGCUUACCAAGGCUUUGACGGGUAGCCGGCCUGGGAGGGUGACCGGCCACAUUGGGACUGAGAUACGGCCCAGACUCCUACGGGAGGCAGCAGUGGGGAAUAUUGCACAAUGGGCGGAAGCCUGAUGCAGCAACGCCGCGUGCGGGAUGACGGCCUUCGGGUUGUAAACCGCUUUCGCCUGUGACGAAGCGUGAGUGACGGUAAUGGGUAAAGAAGCACCGGCUAACUACGUG
This 468-nucleotide ribosomal RNA is filed under the name uncultured bacterium. Its description in RNAcentral is "partial 16S ribosomal RNA". It matches the Rfam family "Bacterial small subunit ribosomal RNA", at positions 28 to 507 of the family's 1533-position model. The record is from RNAcentral.